UAUAUAUAUUCAGUGUUUGUUGCUAUAUUGGUGUUUUACUACCCUGAAAUACGAACUACCCUGAAAACUGAAAAGACUUUUACAGACACAGAUGGUAAAAGCGAGCUAUUAAAAGUGAGCUAUCAUUUCUAUUUACAAUGUAUAUGAAAUACUACUUAAAGGGGCCAUGGCAUAAGACUUUUUAAGAUGUAAACUAAAUCUUUGGUGUCCCCAGGGCACAUAUGUGAAGUUUUAGCUCAAAAUACCAUAUAGAUAAUUUAUUAUAACAUGUUAAAAUUUGCCACUUUGUAGGUGUGUGCAAAAAUGGUCCGUUUUGGGUGUGUCCUUAAAAAUGCAAAUGAGCGGAUGAAGUGCAAACACUGAUCACAAUGAUGGUGGUUUGAUGCAAUUCAAACUCAGUUGUGCUGUCAAUUAUUUUUCUCUUUCUCUUUCUCUCUAAACUAAAUGGCUGUGUCGUGGUUGGAUAGUACAGAUUAAGGGGUGGUAUUAUUAUUAUUAUUAUUAUAAGAUCUCCUUAUGACAUCACAAGGAGAGCCAAAUUUCAAUGACCAAUUUUUUCACAUGCUUGCAGAAAAUGGUUUACUAUAACUAAGUUGGUUGUACUUUUUCACAUUUUCUAGGUUUGUAGAAGCACUGGGGACCCAAUUAUAGCACUUAAACAUGGAAAAAGUCAGAUUUCCAUGCCAUGGCCCCUUUAAGUUAUCUUUUUCUUCCAGACAUUUUGUCACUUUGUACGAUUUAUAUGUUUGUUUGUUUUUUAAGAUUUUUUUGUUUGCUCACUAUUUUCAGUACUGAUAAAGACUUCCUCAGACACAGAAAAGUAAAGGUGAACUUCACUUGAAUCUUCAAUGUAUAUAAAAAAUAUGUUAAGCAGUUAGGAUGUUUUAAACAUAAGUAUGUUUAAAAAAAAAAAAUGUUGAAUAAAAAUUUUAAAUGUUAAAUGUUACAACAGUUUAUUUUCAACAUUUGUUAAAACAAACAUGUGAAAAUUGUAGUUAAAUGCAUUUAAAAAAACUCAUACUAUUUGAUAUUAAGUGUUUGUUAUGACAAAUACUGAUACUAAAAUGGUCCUGUUCAUAUAUAAUUCCUCCUUGUUUUUCAUAAUGUGAUAUUUAGGGAAUUGCAUUGAAUCCAAUAAGGGUCAAUUUGACCCGCUUCAUCAAAAUUGUCACAAAAAUCGAAUACAAUACAAUACAUCUGGUACUACCAUAUUUUGUAUAUGUCCAAAUAAAAACAAUAUGGUAUUACCAUCCCAGAUGUUUUUUUUAUUGCUCAGAGGCUGCUGGAUAUCUCAAGAGACCUAGUCUUUGUUUCAAAUGUGUCCCAGAUGUUCCUUUUUAAAUUCCUUAAUAGACAGAAAGAUACAAAUUCGACUUGAAUAAUACUUGAAUUUCUUGAUAUCUAAUUGAAGACUUUGGCACAUCCGAGCAUCAUUUGAUACCUUAUUGAGAUCUCUUCUGAAACUCUAGAAGAGAGGUGACAAAACAUCUCAGAUCCCUCGUAUUUGCAUUAUUUUCACCUAUUGCUCAUUUUUUAUUAGUGCAUAACAUAAAAAUAUGUUUUUAUAUUUUGUCAUUUAUAUCUGUGGUAAUACUUUUUAGCUUGUUUUAAGAACAAAGGUGUGCGGUUUCCCGGACAGGGUUUAGAUUAAUCCAGGACUAGGCCUUGGUUAUAGACGGUUUCACCAGUAACAACAUAAACAAGCACCUUUCGUGGUCAACACGUAACUUCCGGUAAACUUUGAUAAGAAUAAAUAUCAACAAAGUCCUUUUAAAGUAGUUUAUUUAUAUAACAAGCAAAAUAAACAACAUGUUUACCUAGGAAACCAAAACAUUUGUUAUUUUCGACAAGGUAUUUGUUUAUUCGAAUAUAAAGAAUGCAUUAUGUCAGCUAACCAAUAACACAUAAUGUAAAGCAAUUUGCUGGUGCAAACUUACAUUUACAUACAAACGUCCGUACUUAAGUAAUAUAUACUCUUUACUCUUAUAAUAGUGAUGGUCGCAAUGUAUCAUGCAAAUCACAGAAAUUUCCCCCAAAGCAACAUUCCCAUGCUCCUAAUCCGCUGUGUGCUCCUGGUAUGUGUCAAUUAUCCUCUCUCACCAACUUCCACAUAGCCUCUCAGUCUCCAUGCAUCGUUCCUCUGUAACGUUUUUUUGCGAGCGCUCCUGUCAAAUGUUUGUUAUGUUAGCAGCGCUCGCCAGCACUCCCAGUCGCCCCCUUGAAACCUCAUUCAUUUGGCCUGCCUGACUCUCAGCCCUUGCGCAACUGCAUUGCACAAAUAAUUAAAGGCUUUAGUUAAAUACAUAGUUGGGGUAUUUGGAGACUAGGGGGAUCUGUAAUAACAUUUGCCAUUAUUCACUCAGGCUUUGAUUGCCUGACAGAAACAAAUUAGGCCCUAGGAUUAAUUUCCAGCAAAACGUGCCAAGUGAAUGCAAUUGACUCCAAUUAAAGCAUGAAAGGACACUAAAUAUUCAAAUCAGCCGAGCGGGUGAUAGCGGGCCGAUAAAGAAUGGCGUGGAAUUGUGCCAAGGGAGAAAACCAGCCGUUCACGGGCACCUGAGGGAAAAUAACAGGGUCGUGUAGCAAUAAUGUGUAGCUGGGGCAACAGACAUGUUUCAGCGCUAGAACAUGCCCCCGCUGGCGUGUUGUUUUGGUAGGGUCACGUCAACGGUCGUUUUGUGUUUGGAGCUGAUUUGACUAUCAAGGCCACAUUAAAACACCUAAGUGCUGAUGUAUUAUACAUGCUAAGUGCUUGUUCAGGUUUAUGCGGAGGCACGUUUUGUAAUAGGCAGGGUUGUCACAUACAUGGGCGUAAUUAGGGUGAUUAAAAAAUAAUGUCCCAGAAUGCAAAUUUCACACUGAUGGUGGCAUCUGCAAUCAUAACAUGUGCACUGUGGGAUUGCUUGUAGUGUAUGUACAGUAAGAUUGUUAAUAGCGCGAUUAACUCGUUUUCGAUUCUGGAUUAUAUGUAACAUCAGAUACAUUCAAAUCUGUCUUAAUAAUUCAUUUACAUUAAGUAUAUUUGAAGUAUUUCAGCAGGUUGCAGUAUGAGGAGCUGGAUAGUUUGACCCUCAGAUGGAAGUGGUGGCCGUGGAUGACUUGCGUAUGAACUUUUAAAUGCUGCAAAAGUCAUCAAACAUGUGGUUGAAGAAGAUCAGGCCUUGAGAAGCCCAGCUGAGCCAACAGCUGGCUAACAGCCCUGCUAACACAGACAUUGACGGAGGAGCCAGACACACUUAACAAACAAAGUGGAGAUCGGUGAAAAGCAGUAUCCCGUUUCGAGCACUCUUGACCUUUACCUGUUUUGGCUGCAUGCAACUGCAAUUUUCAACCGUCCACUGCGUUAGGCUGAUUAGGGUCUGCGAUACAGUGAUGGAGAGGAGACGUCAUUGGUGGUGAAGCUGAAGAAAACUGUGAUGACCUGCGCUAAGAAACUGAAUAACUAAAGCAAAUCUUCACUGACCUUCAGUGGCAGCUGUGGUCCACGCAGAUGCUGCAACACUAAGCUGCGGCGGUUAAGCUGGCCCCGGAGGAGUUCAACAUAGACGGCGUUGACUUCUGCCAGGAGUGCACACCGCUGGUCAGUAACCUCAGACGCUGGAUCAAAGAGCAAGAAUGCGUCCAGCUACCUCAACUCGGGCGCGUUUAAUGCACACACACACACACACCGAUCAGAAGUUUUUUACAGAAAUACAGAAGUUUCCAGAAUUCAUAUGCCAUUCAGAGAGUGUCACAUGCAUAUACAUCAGUGAUGGGACCUAACUAAAAGCAGAGAUGACAAGCUUUUACAUUAACAAGAUGUUUUAUUCAACAAGUAGUUGUGUGAGCGUUGUAUUGUACUUGCAGCCUUAAAAUAAUCAAAUUAUCAGAUGUGUCCUAAAGGUUGGCCCAUUGGAAAGUCUAAUUCGUUUCAGAAAAAAGUUCAUUCAGAUGGUUUGUGUAAGUGAACUGGUUCAAACAGAAACUAUUCUAAUCUUGUUGUGCUUCAUUUUGCAAGGUUUUUUUUUUUUUUUUGUGUAACCCUGUUAAAAAGUUCAUUAGUAUAAGAUAUUAAAGUUUGAAUUAAUAAUUUCAUAAUUUAAUAAAUAGAAUUUAAGGUUAAAACAAGCUAAAAUGUAUUGAUCAGGAAUGAAGUUAUCAUUUUGCAAUGAGAGAACUGCAUAUUUGGUAAUGUUCAUGGUUUAAUGAAUACAGCAUUUAAAGUGUUAAAUAUUUUUUGGUAACUAAUAUAUGUGAAAAUGUGUUAAAAAAUGUCUUUAAAAAUAAGAAGAAAGUGUUACACAAAUGUUUGUGAAUUUAUUUUAUUUCUGAAAGUUUUGUUUAUGAGCC
Molecule: long non-coding RNA, 4329 nt
Organism: Paramisgurnus dabryanus
Lineage: Eukaryota; Metazoa; Chordata; Actinopteri; Cypriniformes; Cobitidae
Source: RefSeq, a predicted model, not a curated record